This 427-nucleotide ribosomal RNA is filed under the name uncultured bacterium. RNAcentral describes it as "partial 16S ribosomal RNA". It matches the Rfam family "Bacterial small subunit ribosomal RNA", at positions 354 to 796 of the family's 1533-position model. The record is from RNAcentral.
GUGGGGAAUAUUGGGCAAUGGGGGCAACCCUGACCCAGCGACGCCGCGUGAGGGAAGAAGGCCUUAGGGUCGUAAACCUCUGUUGUGUGGGAAGAAGGAAGUGACGGUACCACACGAGGAAGUCCCGGCUAACUACGUGCCAGCAGCCGCGGUAAUACGUAGGGGACGAGCGUUGUCCGGAAUUACUGGGCGUAAAGGGCGCGUAGGCGGUCAUUUAAGUCAGCUGUGAAAUGGUCCGGCUCAACCGGAUCAUGCGGUUGAAACUGGAUGACUGGAGUGCUGGAGAGGCAAGUGGAAUUCCCAGUGUAGCGGUGAAAUGCGUAGAUAUUGGGAAGAACACCGGUGGCGAAGGCGACUUGCUGGCCAGCAACUGACGCUGAGGCGCGAAAGCCAGGGGAGCAAACGGAAUUAGAAACCCCUGUAGUCC